GAUGAACGCUAGCGAUAGGCCUAACACAUGCAAGUCGAGGGGCAUCACAUGAAGUAGCAAUACGGAUGGUGGCGACCGGCGCACGGGUGAGUAACACGUAUGCAACCUGCCUUCAACAAGGGGAUAACCCGUUGAAAGACGGACUAAUACCCUAUAACACAGGGGUCCCGCAUGGGAAUAUUUGUUAAAGGACAACCGGUUGAAGAUGGGCAUGCGUUCCAUUAGCUAGUUGGCGGGGUAACGCCCACCAAGGCAACGAUGGAUAGGGGAACUGAGAGGUUUAUCCCCCACACUGGUACUGAGACACGGACCAGACUCCUACGGGAGGCAGCAGUGAGGAAUAUUGGUCAAUGGACGCAAGUCUGAACCAGCCACGUCGCGUGAAGGAAGACGGCCCUACGGGUUGUAAACUUCUUUUAUACGGGAAUAAAGUGCCCCACGCGUGGGGUUUUGCAUGUACCGUAUGAAUAGGAUCGGCUAACUCCGUGCCAGCAGCCGCGGUAAA
Molecule: ribosomal RNA, 505 nt
Filed under: uncultured bacterium
Lineage: Bacteria
Description: bacterial SSU rRNA
Rfam family: Bacterial small subunit ribosomal RNA
Source: RNAcentral